CCUACGGGGGGCUGCAGUGAGGAAUAUUGGUCAAUGGACGAGAGUCUGAACCAGCCAAGUAGCGUGAAGGAUGACUGCCCUAUGGGUUGUAAACUUCUUUUAUAUGGGAAUAAAAUGUUCCACGUGUGGGAUUUUGUAUGUACCAUAUGAAUAAGGAUCGGCUAACUCCGUGCCAGCAGCCGCGGUAAUACGGAGGAUCCGAGCGUUAUCCGGAUUUAUUGGGUUUAAAGGGAGCGUAGGUGGAUUGUUAAGUCAGUUGUGAAAGUUUGCGGCUCAACCGUAAAAUUGCAGUUGAAACUGGCAGUCUUGAGUACAGUAGAGGUGGGCGGAAUUCGGGGUGUAGCGGUGAAAUGCUUAGAUAUCACGAAGAACUCCGAUUGCGAAGGCAGUUCACUGGACUGCAACUGACACUGAGGCUCGAAAGUGUGGGUAUCAAACAGGAUUAGAUACCCGAGUAGUC
RNAcentral lists this ribosomal RNA (460 nucleotides) under uncultured bacterium. RNAcentral's name for it is "partial 16S ribosomal RNA". It matches the Rfam family "Bacterial small subunit ribosomal RNA", at positions 338 to 795 of the family's 1533-position model. The record is from RNAcentral.